Molecule: long non-coding RNA, 828 nt
Organism: Phascolarctos cinereus (koala)
Lineage: Eukaryota; Metazoa; Chordata; Mammalia; Diprotodontia; Phascolarctidae
Source: RefSeq, a predicted model, not a curated record
CUACAGAAAUAAAUGUCAAAUAGUAGGAUUUUAGGUAGCCUGGGGGAAGAUAAUUUUAGUCUGGGAGCUCUACCCUGCCACCCUCCAAGUAGACGCUGUCUGCUACAAAGACUUCAAACCAAGAGCUGAGACAUUAGAGGUCCAUAGAGGAAGACAGACUCUAAGUCCCAGACAGAGAAAGGAAAUCUGCCUCCUUCCCAGAGGAGUAGUGGGGUGCUUUAAUUCUACCAGUGGGGAUUAGAAUGUGGUGCAUGACCCCUCAGUGCCUGCAUGAACCACCCUCCCCUCCCCUGACCAACCUUGACGCUGGCCCUGUGCAUGCUGGGAGGAGGGCUGAAGGCGGCCCAGCAGGUUAGCCAGAUACUGCUUGCCAGCCUCCAACAGGACCAGUUCUCAGGAUUGCAGGAGUCUCGUGCCCAGGACCCGUGAGGCCCACAAGAAGAAACAGUCCCCGUUUCUUCUUUCUUUGCCUUCAUCUCAUCCCAGAUCAGAUGACCUGCACCUGUGAUGGAGACUAGCUGUGGAAGGAGUUCAGUGGACAUGAUGCUCCUAGUGCUGUACCUGGCCAUCUUGGUUGUGUUUAUGUCAGAAGACUUCAUCUGGACUGCUCCUGACAUUACUUCCACUCACAAGCAGUGAGCAUGGUGAAAUUCCCUCAUUGCUGCCUGUGAGUCACUCACUGAAUCCACGGAUCAGCACAGUGGAGGACAUGGGCCUGCUGACAGGGAGAGGAGACCUGGGCCAAGUUCUUGAGGCACUCACCCAGUCCCCAGCAGAGGGAUGACAUUUCCACUGCGUGGAGAGCCAAAAUCAAUGACAAGAGAGAGG